UUUGCCUACGGGACGCAGCAGUGGGGAAUAUUGGGCAAUGGGCGCAAGCCUGACCCAGCAACGCCGCGUGAAGGAAGAAGGCUUUCGGGUUGUAAACUUCUUUUCUCAGGGACGAAGCAAGUGACGGUACCUGAGGAAUAAGCCACGGCUAACUACGUGCCAGCAGCCGCGGUAAUACGUAGGUGGCAAGCGUUAUCCGGAUUUACUGGGUGUAAAGGGCGUGUAGGCGGGGGCGCAAGUCAGAUGUGAAAAAUAAGGGCUCAAACU
This 267-nucleotide ribosomal RNA is filed under the name uncultured bacterium. Its description in RNAcentral is "partial 16S ribosomal RNA". It matches the Rfam family "Bacterial small subunit ribosomal RNA", at positions 334 to 615 of the family's 1533-position model. The record is from RNAcentral.